RNAcentral lists this transfer RNA (72 nucleotides) under Stegodyphus mimosarum. It matches the Rfam family "tRNA". Rfam says of the family: Transfer RNA (tRNA) molecules are approximately 80 nucleotides in length. Their secondary structure includes four short double-helical elements and three loops (D, anti-codon, and T loops). The record is from Rfam by way of RNAcentral. Lineage: Eukaryota; Metazoa; Arthropoda; Arachnida; Araneae; Eresidae.
GGUUCCAUGGUGCAAAGGUUAGCUUUCUGGACUUUGAAUCCAGCGAUCAAAGUUCGAAUCUCGGUCAAACCU